Molecule: ribosomal RNA, 449 nt
Filed under: uncultured Streptococcus sp.
Lineage: Bacteria; Bacillati; Bacillota; Bacilli; Lactobacillales; Streptococcaceae
Description: bacterial SSU rRNA
Rfam family: Bacterial small subunit ribosomal RNA
Source: RNAcentral
CGGUGGAGCAUGUGGUUAAUUCGAAGCAACGCGAACGAACUUACCAGGUCUUGACAUCCGAUGCUAUUUCUAGAGAUAGAAAGUUACUUCGGUACAUCGGUGACAGGUGGUGCAUGGUUGUCGUCAGCUCGUGUCGUGAGAUGUUGGGUUAAGUCCCGCAACGAGCGCAACCCCUAUUGUUAGUUGCCAUCAUUCAGUUGGGCACUCUAGCGAGACUGCCGGUAAUAAACCGGAGGAAGGUGGGGAUGACGUCAAAUCAUCAUGCCCCUUAUGACCUGGGCUACACACGUGCUACAAUGGUUGGUACAACGAGUUGCGAGUCGGUGACGGCGAGCUAAUCUCUUAAAGCCAAUCUCAGUUCGGAUUGUAGGCUGCAACUCGCCUACAUGAAGUCGGAAUCGCUAGUAAUCGCGGAUCAGCACGCCGCGGUGAAUACGUUCCCGGGCCUU